UACGGAGGGGGCGAGCGUUGUUCGGAGUUACUGGGCGUAAAGCGAGCGCAGGUGGUUUAAUAAGUCUGAUGUAAAAGGCAGUGGCUCAACCAUUGUGUGCAUUGGAAACUGUUAGACUUGAGUGCAGUAGAGGAGAGUGGAAUUCCAUGUGUAGCGGUGAAAUGCGUAGAUAUAUGGAGGAACACCGGUGGCGAAAGCGGCUCUCUGGACUGUAACUGACACUGAGGCUCGAAAGCGUGGGUAGCAAACAGG
This 252-nucleotide ribosomal RNA is filed under the name uncultured microorganism. RNAcentral describes it as "partial 16S ribosomal RNA". It matches the Rfam family "Bacterial small subunit ribosomal RNA", at positions 524 to 776 of the family's 1533-position model. The record is from RNAcentral.